Molecule: ribosomal RNA, 497 nt
Filed under: uncultured bacterium
Lineage: Bacteria
Description: partial 16S ribosomal RNA
Rfam family: Bacterial small subunit ribosomal RNA
Source: RNAcentral
GAUGAACGCUGGCGGCGUGCCUAAUACAUGCAAGUCGAGCGAACGGACGAGAAGUUUGCUUCUCUGAUUUUAGCGGCGGACGGGUGAGUACCACGUGGAUAACCUACCUAUAAGACUGGGUUAACUCCGGGAAACCGGAGCUAAUACCGGAUAAUAUUUUGAACCGCAUGGUUCAAAAGUGAAAGACGGUCUUGCUGUCACUUAUAGAUGGAUCCGCGCUGCAUUAGCUAGUUGGUAAGGUAACGGCUUACCAAGGCAACGAUGCAUAGCCGACCUGAGAGGGUGAUCGGCCACACUGGAACUGAGACACGGUCCAGACUCCUACGGGAGGCAGCAGUAGGGAAUCUUCCGCAAUGGGCGAAAGCCUGACGGAGCAACGCCGCGUGAGUGAUGAAGGUCUUCGGAUCGUAAAACUCUGUUAUUAGGGAAGAACAUAUGUGUAAGUAACUGUGCACAUCUUGACGGUACCUAAUCAGAAAGCCACGGCUAACUACGUG